AGGAUUGAUUUUCAUUUUGCAAAUAUAAUACUGGUUCAUUUUCUUUCUCUUCCUCCAUCCAUUCUACUAUUGAACAUAAAACGUGUCAAUAGUAUUGUAGUUCAGCAUGUAUCUCAGGAUAUUAAAAGGGCAGUGUGACUCAGCUAGAAAAGGAUGAACUUUCCCCAAAGAUAAAGUGACCUAUGCGACUCUGUUGGGUACAAGUGACACAGAAAGUCAUCUCAAACUAGCUGAAACACAAAAGGUAAUUUAUUUGUUUCAAUACCUGGAAAUUCCAAGAGUUUUUUUUAGCUCUAGUUAUAGCUGGAUCAAGAUGAGUGUCAAAUGAUAUAAUGAUAUUGUCAGUGUUUGAGUGUCUUAUCUAUCAUGUGUCUAUCCAUACAUAUCUAUACCUACAUAUAUACAUAUAUCACACACGUUUUAUAAAAAAUUUAUCAUGUCGACAAUAAUAUUUAAACAAAUACCCAAAUAAAUAUUAAUCAUUGAGUUUUCUCAGAAGGCUAAAUCACUUACAAACAAAAUGGAACAUUUUUAUAUUUUUAUAAUUUCCUUCUGGUACUGUGGAUCACAGCCACAGAAGGAAAUCAGUCUAGUAAUAUUAUAGAUAGGACAUUCACUGGUCCCAAUCUGAUUUACAUUUUCUUAUGGACAUUUGUGAAUUUUUAGCUCUGCUUAGCAUCUAAAAUCCAGUGUAUGUUUGGAAUCUUUUUCAACAUUAUUAGCCAUAGUGUGGAGGAGAGACUGCCUCACCCAAUGGGAGAUGAAAAUGCCAAACUCUUGCUUGCCUAGACUCCCUUGGAGCUAGGACAUGACCAAGUGAGGUACAUUCCACUAAUCAGAUUCAGCCAUGGAAGCAGGAACCAGUAACUCAAAGAAGCAGGGACUGAGAGCCUCCAUUCAGACUGAAUUCCUAGUGCAGCUGUGGCAGCAGAGCUAGAGGCAGUGUCACAGUGCAGUAGUGGAGGGGUUGGUGGUGCAGGCUGUAGAGUCUUUUGCUUGUUAGUGUUGGUAGGGAUGUCAACAUUAGGUGAGCUGUGUCAUGUCUUGGUGAGCCUGUGUUUCAUAGAACCUGGCUCUUCAUACAUGCUGGCAAUGUAAUCCACCCAAUAUCAUUAUCACAAACACCUUUCCCAUUGAAAUUAACCUGAGUUGGUUUCUGUUGCUUGCAGCUGAUGAAUGGAUGACCUUCUCUUCCUCUAUGUCAUCUCCUUUAGUUAUGUAUUUAUUAACUUAAAUCUCAU
Molecule: long non-coding RNA, 1241 nt
Filed under: Homo sapiens (human)
Lineage: Eukaryota; Metazoa; Chordata; Mammalia; Primates; Hominidae
Description: long intergenic non-protein coding RNA 865
Source: RNAcentral